This 601-nucleotide small RNA is filed under the name Pongo abelii (Sumatran orangutan). RNAcentral's name for it is "processed transcript". Lineage: Eukaryota; Metazoa; Chordata; Mammalia; Primates; Hominidae. The record is from RNAcentral.
ACGGCCGGAGCUGUUUGUGCUGGGAGCUGGUGGCGCGGUGCAGGGCUCUUAAGAACGAACGGCUUGGGCGCGGACUGGUAUCCGGGGACUGUGACUUGCAGGGUCCGCCAUGGAGCCAGAGCAGAUGCUGGAGGGACAAACGCAGGUUGCAGAAAAUCCUCACUCUGAGUACGGUCUCACAGACAACGUUGAGAGGAUAGUAGAAAAUGAGAAGAUUAAUGCAGAAAAGUCAUCAAAGCAAAAGGUAGAUCUCCAGUCUUUGCCAACUCGUGCCUACCUGGAUCAGACAGUUGUGCCUAUCUUAUUACAGGGACUUGCUGUGCUUGCAAAGGAAAGAGUUUUACAACAGAGAGAAAAUACAGCAGUCAAGUAUAAUUUAAAAAAUUCAGCCAAUUUUUUUCAGCAUUGUUUCUGGACCUUUCUGAGGGUGGGAUCUGGGCAUCUUCAAUGGCUUAACAAGUAUCACAGAUGAGGAAACAGACUUGGAGAGGUUAAGUGACAUGCUCAAGACAACACUGCUGAGGGGGUUUCACCGUGUUGCCCAGGCUGGUUGCGAACUCCUGAGCUCAGGCAAUCUGUCUGCCUCGGCCUCCCAACGUGC